Molecule: long non-coding RNA, 334 nt
Organism: Chroicocephalus ridibundus (black-headed gull)
Lineage: Eukaryota; Metazoa; Chordata; Aves; Charadriiformes; Laridae
Exons: 3
Source: RefSeq, a predicted model, not a curated record
GCGCGGGUGCAGUGCGCGGGAGCGGCAGUGUGAGGAGAGUGGCGAGGCGGGAGAAGAAUUCCGGUGAUGCCAUCAGCAACUGUGUACCAGAGUAAAGAGGCUUGUGGCUGUGUGAGGCAUGGAGCGAGGGCGUGCCUGGGCCUGACUCAUCUUUACUGCUCCAGUGGCUGAUCCGCACCGAUAGUAGGAACUGCAAGGGAUCUUCAGCAUUGGUGAAAUACCUUGCAAAUUGCAGUAGGCAUGAGAAACCCGCUACUGAUCUCUCACCGUUGCAACUGGUCUUAGAAGGGAACAGUAUAGAUCAAAUGGCUUUUUCAGCUCGGGUGAUUUUUGU